This 117-nucleotide ribosomal RNA is filed under the name Petromyzon marinus (sea lamprey). Lineage: Eukaryota; Metazoa; Chordata; Hyperoartia; Petromyzontiformes; Petromyzontidae. The record is from RNAcentral.
GCCUGUGACCAAAUCACCCAGAAUGCAACUGAUACCGUCAGGUCUCGGAAGCUAAGCAGGUUCGAGCAUGGACAGUGCUUGGAUGGGCCAACAUCUAUGAAAUAACUGUUGUGGGCC